AUGCAGUCGAACGAGAAAGUGGAGCAAUCCAUGUAGUAAAGUGGCGUACGGGCUGCCUUUNCACGGUGGUAUCAUCUGCCCUAGAGUGGGGAAUAACCAGGGNAAACCUUGGCUAAUACCGCAUAAUCCCGAGAGGGGAAAGCCGAAAGGCGCUCAAGGAGGAGUCCGCGGUCGAUUAGCUAGUUGGUAGGGUAAAGGCCUACCAAGGCAACGAUCGAUAGCCGGCCUGAGAGGGCACACGGCCACACUGGCACUGAAACACGGGCCAGACUCCUACGGGAGGCAGCAGUGGGGAAUCUUGCACAAUGGAGGAAACUCUGAUGCAGCGACGCCGCGUGAGCGAUGAAGCCCUUCGGGGUGUAAAGCUCUUUCGUCAGGGAAGAUAGUGACGGUACCUGGAGAAGCAGCUGCGGCUAACUACGUGCCAGCAGCCGCGGUAAUACGUAGACAGCAAGCGUUGUUCGGAGUUACUGGGCGUAAAGGGUGUGUAGGCGGCCUUCUAAGUUUGGUGUGAAAUCUCCCGGCUCAACCGGGAGGGUGCGCCGAAGACUGGGGGGCUAGAGUAUGGGAUGGGAAAGUGGAAUUCCUGGUGUGGCGGUGAAAUGCGUAGAUAUCAGGGAGGAACACCUGCGGUGUAGACGGCUUUCUGGACCAUAACUGACGCUGAGACACGAAAGCGUGGGUAGCAAACAGGAUUAGAUACCCUGGGUAGUCCACGCCCUAAACGAUGCAUAUUUGGUGUGGGCCAUUCAUUUGGUCCGUG
This 763-nucleotide ribosomal RNA is filed under the name uncultured bacterium. RNAcentral's name for it is "bacterial SSU rRNA". It matches the Rfam family "Bacterial small subunit ribosomal RNA", at positions 55 to 845 of the family's 1533-position model. The record is from RNAcentral.